Motacilla alba alba is the source of this 15537-nucleotide RNA transcript. RefSeq lists it as uncharacterized. The transcript has 10 exons. Lineage: Eukaryota; Metazoa; Chordata; Aves; Passeriformes; Motacillidae. The record is from RefSeq and is a predicted model, not a curated record.
CGGAGGGCGCGGUUUGUCCCGCGGCGCGCACGUGCGUGAGGCGGCGCGCGUGGCGCCCCCCCGCGGCGGCGGGCGAUGGAGCUGGAGGCGGCGCGGCGCGCGGUGCUGGCGGCCGUGCGGGGCACGCGCGCCGCCGACCUGCCGCGCCUGCUGCACUGGAUGCGCCACUCCCAUGACUUUGAUGAGCUUGUGGUGAGUAACAAUGAUGUUGUGCUCAGAAAUAUCGCUGAAGAUUUGCGGAACCACUUACCCAUCGAGGCAAUGUUUACUUCGGAACAUCAAGCUGUUCAGAAAAUACAUCAGCAUCCACUGCCCAUGAUUCAUGUUGAUGCAUUCCUUUAUGAUGAUGAUGUUGUUGAUUCAUUGUGUGAGGAGGGGAAAAUGAGUAGGAGCUACUGCACAGAGUGUGGCUCAUACAAAACUGCAUCUUUAGAGUUUAUUUCGCAUUCCUUUUCCCUCAUGGAACUGAAGUUUCUUUAUCACCAUGUACUGCCUGACCUGACAGGAAAGGUAGUGGUUGACGUUGGCUCCAGGCUUGGUGCAGUGCUAUUUGCGGGUUAUCUUUAUAGCUCAGCUUCCCAGCUGUAUGGAGUAGAAAUGAAUGCAGACUUUUGCCAGUUGCAAGAAAUGAUGAUUACAAAGUACGAGUUUAUUGACAGAAUAAAGGUGGUUCAUGCAGACAUCUGUACUCAGCCCUCACUUCUGCAGAAGGCUGAUGUUGUUGUAAUGAAUAAUGUCUUUGAAUAUUUUCUUGACAGACAGGAACAGGCCAGAGCUUGGGAAUUUAUUGCUUGUAAUGUAAGGAAGAGAGGGUCCUUAUUAGUGACAGUUCCAAGUCUUGAGGAAUCACUUUCAAAGCUCCAGACAGAUGUACAGCCCAGUCAAUGGGUUGAAGAGGUGCAGCUGAACUACGAUGUGUAUAUGGAAAAGGAUGUUGACAGAGAAGCGCUCGAACAGAUUCAUUUAUACAAGAUUCUCUAGUACUUGGAAAAAUUUACUAGUACUAAUAUAAAAUACUGAAGGACACCAAGAAGCCAUGAAGAAUUAAUACAGCAAAUCCAAGAUGAUGGAAUUCUUUUCCUGCACUUCUUCUGUGGAUGAGGUCCUGAAAGAUCUCCUGAAUCGAUUGUCAGGACUUGGGGCUCGUGGUACUGGGAAUGAUCUGUGCCCUGCACCUUGUUUUGGUAAUAUGGGAACUACAACAACUUUCAUUGCAGUUGUUUCUCCUCUUCAUGCUGAGUCUUCAAAUACUUUUUUUGGGUGUUGAUCUCAGAUUAAAAAAAUUUCAAUAGACUGGAGCAGAUCACCAGCAUAUUUAAUGACAUCUGUAUCCUCUGACUGAAAAUAGCAUGCACGCAUCUGGAGCUCAUAUGCAGCAGAGGGUGCAAAAGGGAAGCUCCCCCUGUCUUUUUUAGACAUCAGGAGAAACUCAAGAGGUGAGUUCAAGCUGCUGAAAUGUAUGUUUUCCUCUCCUGCCCUUGAUGGGUCCUCAGUUAAAACCCUCACAUUGACACAUUCACUGAGAAGACGUGGUGGUAAUUCAGUUUGGUUUUAUCAAACUCAUAUUAAGAGAGGUAUCUCCUCUGUCCUUUUAGAAGCCUCUUCCUAACUUGACUUCAUAGGGCCAGAGAUCACAGGACCAUUCUUUAGGAUCUUAUGAGCUGCCUAACCCACCUACUGAAGAGCUAGAAACAACGAGUCUGUCAGUAAGGUAGUAAUUGUCUCUUUUCCAGCUGGCCCCUUUCAGCGCUGUUAUACAUUCCCACACACACAGGCAGCAAAGGUAAAUUGUGAUGUAGUUUGCAAAACCUCGUGUGAAAGGGAGCAAAUCAGUCUUCCCUGUGCAGGCUCAGAAGACCUCAGAUGUCAGCUGAAAUCCCCCCAAGAGUGUGUGCAUUGCCUCAACUAAAGUUUUGCUUGUUAAGCUUGAGGAAGUUGCCAGAGUAUAUUCAGCAUGUUGAGUCCUUGUUCUUAGUUCUUCUACUGCUGAAUUGUCUGGUAUUUGGCCAGUGAUUGAACUUUUCAUUGGUGUCUACAGUGAAAAUAAGAACAAUAAAUCCAAAAGCGGAGCAAGGUUGUGAAUUAAUUGAGUAUCAGUUGUUUUGAGAUUGUCAUAUAAAAAUGUUAAGCAGUUGAGCUCUUCUUUUUAAAGUGACCUAAUUUAAAAAACCUGAAAGGCAAAGAUAAUACCAGUACCUCUCUGAGAUACUUUCUGGCUCUUUCCUUCACCUGACAGCAUUGAAAAAGAAGCACAGAUUAACCACAGAACAAUGUUGAAAAUGCAAAAAUAAUUGUUUCCUAGAGCUCUGUUUUUACACUGCCCUUGCUGUUAGCUGGCCCCUGGUGUUGGGAGGAAGGGAGAGGGGAGUAUCUGGCACCCAGAUUUUUGGGCCUGCGUGCAGGGCAGCCCUGUGACAGCUGCUGGAGAUGUCACGGUGGCUGCCACAAGCUGCCAGCCCUCACUGCCCCGCACAGCUCUGGGGCUGCACAGCUGCUGUGUGCUGCCACUGCCUGUGAAACACAGCUCUGUAUGGCCUGACAGAGGUCCCAACCCCAGCGACAGCAGCAGUACACUGUGGUCAUGAACAGCUUGUAAAUCACAAAAUUUCACUUUUGUAGGCCUGAAUUAGAAAAAAAUGAGGGCGAUUAAAAAAUUAAUGAGGGAGAUGCAUACCUGCAGCACUUAUAAUCGCCAGGAGUUCCUGUCACACAUGGAAAGCAGCUCUGCUAUUUCCCAGGAGCAUAACUUCCCAUGCAGUACCCUGGUUUCUGCAGAAAGAGCCAUCUGAAAUUUGAACCCAUCAAGAACUAGUAGUAGUAAAAGAAGUACUCUCUAAUAGUAAAAGAAGAGAAAAAAUACUCUGGAUCCACUGUAGUAGCACAAAAAAAGUCAAGCUAUAAGAAUGAUAGAUUCACUUUGCAGACAGGAAAUGUUGCAAAUAUCUAGUUGAGACUGUUUUAAAAAAAUCACCAAAUGCCUAGUGAGAACAGCCUGACUCUCAAAGGUGUGUCAUUUUCCAUGUGCCUUUUUUCACAGUAAGCAAUACUGGAAGGGGCUAAUGGCCCAUGCUUAGGAAAACUUGACAGUGGAGCAAGCUUGAAAAAACCAAAAUCCAGCUCCUUCAUUCCUCACCAUCUGUAUCCUCCUCUCUUUCCUAGGUUUCUUCUGUCUCUUGUCUCUUCUCAGCUGUCUUUUCUCUCGCUGUUGCCAUUGCCAGGACCAGCCAUGGUGCAGCAGGCAGGAGCUGUGCUUGAGUGUGGCUGCAGCCUGCAUGUUUUCUCUGUUACUAGAAGACAACAAUAGUAAAUGUGACCAGUAACUUCAGCUGAGCAGCUUCUAGGACUCGCUGCAGGCUGCAAUAAUGACAGAAACAUUUUUAAGGGGUUGCUUUGUACUCUCCAGGAAUUCCUGGUGGAGACUCCAGUGAAGAGCAGACCCUGCUCCAUCUCAUCUCUGAGGCCUCACAACAGACUCAGGCUCUGGCUGUCCCCUGCCCACCCUUGGUAAAACAGGAGUUGACAUGCACAAUGCCAGUACUCUUUGCCAGCAUUUUAACAAAUGGCCUCUCAUAUGCCCUUGGGCUGUCACAAGCCCUCUGCAGCAGAGGGAGUUGUAUUUGUAGAAAUAAGUGGGAGAAGGCGGCAGUGCUGCUUUUCCAACAAACUCAUGUUAAAUGCUUCCGGAAAUGUCUAUACUUCCACUCAUUCAUUAUUUGAGAGCAGAUUAAUGUGGCACAGUGUUUUAGGGGAGGAAGAGAGAUGGCACAUCAUGCUUAAGUGCACAUGUUUUUUAAAUUCCUUCACAGAAACUCUGUGCAGCGUGUAUAUCUUAAAAAAUUGACAUGUUUGUGUCACCCUAGGGGUGAGUCUUUUCCAACAGGAACAAGGUAGCAGUAUGCUGGAAGGCUUAGUUAGAACUGAUAACCUCCCUUGUAGCUUGUAAUGUAGGAGUUCUCUCUGUGAACACAUGCUGGUGUCCUCCCCAUCCAACAAAGAGAUAUUAAAACCCCAAACCCAGAAGUUCAUUAUUAUUUGUAAGUCUUUUGUACUAAGCAUUUGCUUUCCCCCUUUUUUUCUUCUGCAUGGCCUCUGUGGAUUUCCCAGCUCCUCCCACAGUUGUGGUACUACUACCUGGAGACCCUGUCUUGGGGAUUUUUGCAUUCAUGCUUAUCAGGAGAUGCCUCUCCUUCCACUUGGUGGGACAGGAGAAGAAAACAAGUUUUCAUUCUUCAUCACAGGGUGCAUCAGAGGUCCAGGUUCUCCUGAUCUGCCCCACUCUCUGUGAAAGUGGCUGUCAUGGCUUGCUUUCCAUCACCUGGCUCAAGCCCCACCAAACACCUAUGGGGCAGGUGGGGGAGAGGGAAGGUUCUGCAUCUUUGCUCAGCUGCGCUUCCUGGGGUUUACACAAGCAGGGAAGGCAGCCAGCAAAACCUGUCAGCCUGAGCUGGAAAUAGCAAGGAUGGGCAAAGUUGGCAGGAGAUUUCAUGCCAAAAUUUGCAGUACAAUAAUUUACCAGAGUUGCUAGCAGCCUCGACAGAAAUCAGGCCCCAAUUACCUGCAGUAUUGUGUGAGCAUAUGUAUUGUGUAUGUGUGUGUAUAUAUCCGCCAACAUAAUGAGACUCUGCUUAUCCUCGAGAGUCAGCUAUGUAUGCAGACAAAGGUAAAAGAAAGGAAAUAAUAUUUCCUAUCUUCCAGAUGGGGCAUUGAAUUUUGUGUGGUUAUUGUAAUUGUGUAAAUGAGGUAAUUGUACACACAUUGUCUGCUGUAGGAUUGCUGAGUGCACUUUUUGUGGUCUGUAUUUUUAGGGACUUAAAAUUGGGAGCAUGAAAAUACAUAGCUGUUAAAAUAAAUAAUCUCUAUUUUAAAAAUGACAUUAAGAAGUAGUACACAAUUUACUGGGGGGAGUAAGGGAGGGGAACAGAACAUCACUGAUGGCUUCCUGGCAAAACAAUUUAAGACACAAGCACCAAGCUGACACACAGAUAAACAUUUUAAGGGCACUGGUGUAAUGAAGAAUUUGGGUGGAGCUGCCUGCUUCCAACUGCUUCAACAAAGAAACUAACAAAGAAAAAAUUAUUAAUUUUAAUAGUAAGCUAAACAGAAAGUUAACAUCAGGCUUAGCAUCUUAAAAUGACACUAAGCAUGAUGUUGUGGAAGCGCUUGCCAACUAGCUAGGGUUGGAUGCUGAGAAGCAGUAUUCUCUACUAGAGAUCACAGAUGCCUACAUGUUUUUUUUCAGGCCUGUGUAAGGUGUACAUGCUGAGGAUGUAAGUAAAUAAGUACAUCAGCUUUGUAAUUUUGAAAGCAUUUUGAAUAGUAAGUACAUUUCAGUUAGGAGCUGUGGCUAUUAGGGAAAAAAUUAUUUGAGCUAGUAAGCUCAAGUAGUCUUGAACUACUGUGCUACAUAUAUGCACUAGGGGUGUCACUCUCAGAGGUCUACACAGGAGCAUCGGGCAUUUCCACUGGUUCUUUCCCACUUGUGUGUGUUGGAAAGACUGAACCAGUGACUGCUAGGUCAUUGUCAGCUCUCCAUUCUUGCCAGGGCAAUAACCCAAAAGGUCAUCAGCAAAAAAAUCCAAACCAGAGCCAGGCAAUGAGGGGGUUGCCAAGCAUUCAAGGAUUUUAUAGUCAAAACUGCCGCAUGUGUGAGCACAACAUGUGGUGUUGCAAUACUGUGAGUCUGUGUUUCUUAAUGCACUUACUGAAAUUAGUAAGGACCACCACUGUCUAUUUAAAAUCUCUGUGUCAUAGACUGACUCUCUACUUCAGUGUCAUCAAGGCGUCAGCCAAAAAUUCUGAGGUGGCAGUAAGAUUUGCUGUGGAAGAAUCCAAAAUAUGUACAGCUUUUGGCCCCCUUUUGGUAAGGGGCUGAUUGAGGAGUACAUGUUGUUGGCCUUUAUUUAUUUUUAAUGACUCAUAUUUUGGACCUUAUUCCUGUUUGUCUUUCAAUGCCAAACAGAAAUUACUAUUUAGGUCAAGCUGCUGUGUGGUACUAAUAGAAGCAGACAUCAGUUUUGUCGGUGGAUUUCACAGCUAUGCAUUUUGCAGAAUGAAGUUCCCUCUCUAGGCUAUUUCUGACAUUUAGCUGUGAUGGUGUUAAUACCAGCUUCUGGUGCUACCUCUGCCAUUUUACUUGCACACGCUCAGCUGGAGAAUAUAGCUGGGAAGUUACCUUUCAGCUGUAUUUUUUUUUUUUUCAUGCAGACUCUGAGUACAGCAUCUUCUGUAUGAUGCUGUAGAUCCAGCUUUCAGGCCACUUCAUGCUGCUGCUGCAUGGUUCCAGUUCUUUCCUUUUCAGCUCUUUUUAUGCACUGGUGUUAUCCAGCCUCUUGGCCUCUCUGUGGUUGCUGCCAGCUUUGCUACACUCUGCUUAUUUUAGAGGGUUGUUUUCUAACUCUGACUCCCCUGGCUCUUGCUUAAUACUUCCUGAUGAGUGACAGCUUUGGAGAGGAGCCUCAGCUCAUGCGCAGAGGUUUGCAGUCUGUGUUCUGGUCCGUGCCGUGACUCAGAUGCUGGUGCGUGAGGUUUGCUGCAGUGAGGUUUGCUGCAGUGCUGCCCUGGAACCAGUGCUUCGGGCCUGCAUGGAAAUGGGAGACCUGCUAGCCUAGGUGCCAGAAGGCUGGCACCAGCAAAUGAGGUUGCUGCAAGCCUCUCAUCCCUUCCCAUCAGGUAACAGAGUGAAUUGAAGUAUCUCUGCAGUACAAAGCUGACACAAUUUAAGAGCCACCACGAUCCAUUAGAUGGUCCUGAGCAUGGGAAUUGUUAGAUAAAAUUAAAGAGGGGUGGGGCUGGUUUGGCUUCCUGCCAGUGUAACUCUGUGUGUGCAGGACUUCACUGAAUUUCCUCCAUUUCUCAUCAUCUGAGUAUUGGCCCUCCACCUUCAGCUCUGACCAUCAAGUUUUGUGAAGAUGGAUCUUUAAACCAGUUUAUGCACAGAUGCUCAGACCCUGAGCUACAGCCAAAGAUAUGGGCUGAGAGAGAAAGUACAAAAAUGGAUUUAAGGUACCUUUGAAUUUCUGCAUUAUCUGUAUUACUUUGCUUGCUCUGAUUAAGUAAUACUUUAACUUGCAGAAUAGCCAAACAUGAUCUGGUUUGCAGUCCUGUGGUCUCUACUACCAGCUAAUAUCUAGAAGGCUGAAAGUACCUCUUAAGGCUACUAUUCUCUUUCUUUCUAUCCUCAGAUUUUUCUGCAGGUAAGAGGAACCCUAAAGUUACAUGAUUUUUGUUCACUUUCUGAGAGGGCUGUGCUAACAGGAACAGCAUGACUGAGCACAGCCUGAUAAUUAGGUCUGGUUUUACUUAAAUAGAUAACAAGAUGGUUUCUGUGAAAUUUCCCAAUCCCUUUCGAACUGAUCCUCUUUUACAAUACAUGUAUGAUAUAAACUCCAACACUGCAUACAUUUUCUCUUCCUAGUUUUGUCUCUUGUUUUUGUGUUUGGUUUUGUUUAGUGGGGUUUUCUUUCCUGGUCAGUUGUUUCACCCAAACUUUGCAUGCAAAACAGUUGAUGCCACCCUGAAAAUCUCAUAACAGAAGGAUGUUCUUGCCACUUACUGCUUUGAGUUGAUAGUCCUGCUCUGAAUUAACAGAAGUUAGUUGCAGCACCCACAUGUAAUCAUAACUGUGCAUAUGGUUUAGCUCUCACAGAUAAUAGGGAUGAGUAUUUAGUAUCUAGAAAGACGUAUUUUACUGAGAAGCCGACCCAGAGCUAAUGGCCUUUCAGUAAUAAGGAUUUAUUUCAGUGUCUUGUAGCUACAGUGAUAUGGUAUCCAGACUUGGGAUUAUUCCUUCUUCCUUCCUGCAAGUGGCUGCAAAGGGCAUGGAGGGAGUGGAGAAGACAGAGCUGGUCAGAAACUAAUUCUGUCCCCUCCCCAUGAAGGCCUUAAUAGUAAUGAAGCACCUUGACAGAGAGGGAGAGGAGAGCAGACAAACAUCCUGUAUGUGUGGAUGACAUCCCUGCUCACAGCCUAAAUUAACUGUCAGAGAUCUCUAGGCUCCAAAACAAGUAUUUCCAGUGCAUGGGAAUGGACUCAACCUUACUGCUGUGAUCACAGCACAGGAGAAACAAGGUGCAAACUUCUCAGCAUCACCAGAGCAGCCUGGUGACUGUCUGGGUGCAAACUUCUCAGCAUCACCAGAGCAGCCUGGUGACUGUCUGGUGGGAAAAGCAGUCAUACACUGCUUGGUGCCCCAGAGAGGAGGUAAAGCCUCCAGACCCCGCAAUGACCUCAGCCUAGUACUAAGCCCUGUCUAGCACUGCACCACACCUGAGCCCUUUCCAUCACUCCCAGCCCUGAGCAGCCAUCUGUCUGUUGCUGCAGCCAUUGGGUUUGCUAAGUGAGUGAGGACUUCUCCCCAUAAAUUCCCACUUUGCUUCCGGCAUGACCUGGACUGUUUUCUCUCCCCUGCCUUGCAGAACCAUCCCACCUCUCCCAGUCAUGUUUCCUUUACUCUUCCUACAACGUUUUCAGAAAUGUAUAUGAGCUAUCCAAUUACCUCACCCCUUGGUGAGGGAAGUUGGAAUACAGAGGUCAAUAGACUGGGAUCUCUUUCUGCCCAAACUGGUUCACCUGGAUAUUGGUUCCCAACCAGUCUUCCUGUGAGGUGGGGAAGGGGCAAGGCAAGAGGAAAAGUAGGAGAAAUCAGGAGCAGGAGGGCUUGUUCUGAAAGAAUUAGGGGAAGAUUGCUCCAGGCAAGGAGUCUACGUAUCUGUCCCUGGGAGCUGGGGUGAUGCACAGCUGAUGGACGGCCAUCCCUUUCUCCUCUGUGUGCUCCCCAUGCCCAGGACAGCUUUAGGGCACUGGGCAUCCAAUGAAGAGGAAGAGGUGGAUUAGGGGGAAGAGUGAGCAAGGAGCCAGCGGAAGACUUAGCAGCACCUGAUGAGUGUGUAGCGUGGGAUAGCAGUCAACACUCCUUCCAUGGGGAACAGCUCUCUAAAGUUCUGGUCUUCCACUGCUAUGCUCAUUAGCCAGAGAAGAUCCUGAGCUGGAAGAGACCCAUAAGAACCACUGGAUGCACCUGCUACCUGUGUUUUCCAGUGAAAGGCUUUCCAGACUGGCUCUCAAGAAGGCUCUUUCCCAUCUCCACUGCACUCAGACCCUGGUCUUUGAAGGAGCUCUCCCUGCAAAGCCAAGGCUCAGCCUAAUACUUUUAACCACCCUUACCAGUGUUUUUUUCAGAAGCCAUAUUUAUGACAAUGUAUACAUUAGAUACAGAUUGUUUAAUUUGCAUAGGUGCCAGACACAGAGAUGCAUGAAAUUUGGCAGAUAAGCCCAGACGCAGAGGGUGUGAGUGUUGCAAGAGGGAGGAGAUGGGGCCCUUGUUUGUGUUCCUGUGAGGAUUGCUGCUGGCAGAGCAAAAUGGGUUUAACUGGAAACCAAAAGGUUUCAGAUCAAAGCUGUGAAAAGGCUUUAAAACACAUUCUGCUCUCCUCUUGCACUGCACCAGCACUCUGUUAUUCUUUGCUUUAAGCAAAAACUUUGACUGUGGUCAGAUUAUUAUGCGUGUGAACAAGGUGCCACACGAGGCAGCUGCAGCAGGUUUUGGCAAAUCAGCUAAGUGUGAGACAUCCUGGUGGAACCUUGUCAGGCUUAGCAGUGAUGGUUACACAUUGUCUGCCUGCCAUCUCCCCCACCUCCCUGCCGGGGUCCUUGCCCUAGCAGUGGCCAAAGCGGGGUCUUGCUGCCUCAGCCUGCACAGACCCCAUGCAGAAAUCGCCCUUCUCAGCAUCUGCUUGUUUCCCCUUCUGCUGGACAGACGGCAUUGGGAGAGGGCACAGCAGACACGGGGGAGCUAAAGCAUUACAGAUUGCUGCUGUUCAGUUCGGCAGAGCCCAUCUGUCAGGCCUUUAAAAUGCAUUCAGUCCCAAGAUGGAGGUUUCCAGUUCAAAUCAAGCGGCUUUAGUUUGAUGCUACUUAGUAGGAUCUGCUCAUAAUGAACCAAAAACUUGGAUAAGCACCUCUGCCAAAUCUAGCCAAGCAGUCCAGUGCAGCAGCAUAGGCAGCUUGCUGCUCUUCCCUGCAGAGUGGAGCAAGGUGGGUAACACACCUCAUCCCUUCCUGUUCACAGCCCAGGGUUUUGUCUUAAGCCAAUAAUAAUGGUGAGCCUGUGCAAAAACACCAAGCUGUAAAUGAGAAUAUCCCUUGCAAAUACUCAAAUCCUGCUCUGCUACUUGGCGAAAGAGAUUCAUAUUUUGUGACUAUGAUACCUUAAGAAGGGGAGAUAUGUUAGAGUUUUGCAGACCCUUUGCUCUUGAGUGAGAGGAUCUAUGUAGAGUUUAAGAUGUCUUAAAUUGUACACAUUUUAGGUGAUUCAUCUUGAGUUUUCUAAGUGGAGACAUGGCAGAAAUGUGCUAAAAAGCUAAUUGAAAUUUUGCCUGUUGUCAAAAGGCCAACUACAAGUAAUUAUAUUGAAGGCACUUGUUGACAAGUGAGGUUACUUAAACCCUCUUUGAUUGGAUCAUUUGUCUUUGGUAAGCAGAAGGCACAUCAUUGGACAUUCUGCUGUCUGAGGAUGACAGCAGAUUGGGGUUGUGGUUAUCUGCCUUCACUUACUCCACUCUGAACACUCCCUCUCAGAGGCUGAGUGGGAUGGGCAGAAAAUAGGGAGGAUGUGGUUUCUGAAUUCUGAAUCAUGACAGUUUCCCCCCAGUACUCUUAUUUGUAGUAAUUUAAAAAUUCCAUCCUGGCAAUUAGACUGUACUUGGUCUCAGGCUCUAUGGGCCUUGACACUAGCUUCUUAGAUUUCAGGACUAACCAGACUAAUCAAAUUAAUUUUUUUUAAUUAAAAGUUCUCCUAAAUUGAUACUCAAUUGGAGGUCAAGCUGGGCAACAACAUUUUAGAAGUCAUUCUGUCACUUCCACUUCUGUUUGCAUUUCUUCCCAUGGAACUCUUAAGUCCCACAGUAAUUCUUUUUGUAAAACCUUGUAGUAGAGUCAGAUUCAGGCUGCACACUAGAAACAGAUAAUAUGAAAGAAAAUAUUCCAGCAAUUUGAUCUUUGCUAUUUCAGCCUGUGUUUGAAUGAUCCUCAGAGAUCCCUUCCAGCCCUAUUUGUUUCACUCUUCAUAAUACCUAAGGGAACAUGAUGACUGUAAAGAGGUGGAUGUCUCUAGCUUGAAAAGAUUUAUUUCUAACUGGUAAACCAGUUAAUUACAUGUGUAGUUUAAAAAAAAAAUAAAAAAAUCAACCAAAUCUAACUAACCGAUGAAAAAACAACCCCAAAAACACUUUGUGAGGCCUCCAUAACCUUAAAUAUGUACCUCAAAAUAGCUGAACUCUAUUUUAGACAGUAAAGAUAUGAUUAAUAUUUAUUCUCAGGUCAGGCUAGAGCACUUGGAAGGGAAAUCUCGUACUUUUGCCAGUUUUUACCCAAAUCCCUUCUGGCUAGGGGGUUCAGCUGGUGCUUGGGUCACUUCUCUUCUGCAUCUGGGUAACAGCAAGUAAACAAAGCCUCAAGUGAUUAGCAGUGGUUCCUGCAGGACCUCAAGAGGUGGCUUUUAGAGAUCUCUCAGCAGACUUCAGUUCUGGCUGGUGACAGGAUUAUCUGGGUCCCUGAUCAGGAGAAAACAGGGAUGCAGUGCAUGCCACAGAUAUUCCCCAUGAGAACUUCUGCUUACAGCCUGAAGUUCUGCUGUGCUAAGCACCAACUCCAGUAGUAUGUACAGGAUUAGAUAUUGGUGUAGUACCUGACCCUCUAUGUAGUUUAACACCAAACUCAAAUUCAUUCAUACAUUCAGGCUUCACUUGAUCUAAUGAUCACCUCUUCUAGUCUUUUCUCAAGUUAGCUGACACAAAUAAACCUGUUACUACUGUGAUAUUAACCUUUUUCCUGGCUACUGUUCAGUUUAUCUCUGAAAUUAAUCUUCAGGCUUUAGACCACUCUUACUGUGAAAGCUGAGCAACACUAAAAUGCAGAAAUCUGACCGUCACAGUACGUCAUAAACUGCCUAUACCUCAUGGAAAAAUCUGACAGACGCCUUACUUAGAAAUGCUUUGGUUUAGGUGUGUCAUUCUAGUUGGUUUCCUUAAUACGUUGCUAUGAAAACAGGGUCAUGGUUUAGAAUUUAAUCUUCUCUCUAUUCCUGACUUCAGUUGUAACCUCUGUCCACAUCAAAAUUAGCUGGAACUUCAUCUUUACAGCACACACCAGGUUUGAAAGAGAUCUUUUAAUCUUUUUUUUUUUUCCCCUCCUGUAAAGAUCUGAAACCUAAGCAGAAAAAUAAUCAAAGUUUUCUCAUCCUUUAAAAUUAUUCUUAGUGUGAAUUGAUUUUGUGGUAUUGAUUUUAGGAACACUAUCUGUAAGCAGUUAUAUUUUGUGCAAUAUAUUAAAUAGUAAAAACAAUUGAGUGCAUGCAUUUAUAAAAAACAGAAUAAUUCAUUUAUACAUAUAACACAUGCCCCUAUGUACACAGACAUAAUCAUGGAAAUUCAGUCAAUCAGUGCAGCUGCUGGUUACAUUAUUUCAUUUAUUUUUCUAUUCUGUGUUCUCACUAGAAAAGAUGACAAUGACCUUGCAGUUGUAUUUUUCAGUGUAGAACAGCAUAUACAUUUGAAACUUUCUGGGGAAAACCACCCCAUUAAUUUCCAUGCAUAGCUGAAAAGCUGACUAAGAAAAUUAGUGAAAGAUGCAUUGCAGCAUCACACAGAAUAAACCAGGCAGCACUUUAUAGGUAAAGUUCCAUAUUCACUACAGGAAGGUGGAUCUAAAUUCAAUGUCACAAUGCCAUCACCUGCCCUAGCUGAAACGAUGCCUUGUUUUGGUUUUAAGGUGGUUGCAUUUAAGCUAUUAAAAAAAGAAGCCCAAAAUAAGCAAAUUUUCCCAGGAAAUUUUCUGCUUCUUCCUUGGUUCAAAAGGAUCCAGGAAAUGGUAGACAUAUACAUACUUGAAAUCAAAGUCCAGGGCCUGAUGAAUAGGCUGCCUGCCCUUUCCCAGGGAGCACAGCAGGGAGGGCUGGAGAGGGCGGGUGCAGGGAUGAAGGGCUCCUCGGGGCUCUCCCCAGUCCGGGCAAGAGCUGCAUUUAUGCAUAAUAAUUUCUGAACUGCAUAUUUUCCACUCUUUUAUGAGUUGUCUGCUAUUGCUUAAGGGUUCACCUACAUGCUGGUUUGGGAUUCAUUUACCUGUAGAUCAGUUCAGAAAGAGGUAGUUAUGUGGGUAUGAGCUAUAGUGCUAAAAGUACCGUUAGCCUGAUGUAACUAUGUUCACCCUACCAGGGCAGGCAGUCACUUUAUUUAUAUUCUUCAGUUAAAACAUCAGAAAAACAUUACAAAAAAUUAAAUCAUUCCUGAGAGCAAAGAGAUCAGCUGAAUGAACUAUAUUGCAAAAGCUGGUUGGUAUACUUUAGUGUUUAUAGUGCUAAUGUUGGUACUUUACAAUAAUCUGCAUUGUAACUUAAAAAUAAAUUCAUAAAUCUUUCAGUUUAUUUUAGUUGUGAUUAUUUUGUCUUCAGCUCCCUUGUCAAUGUGUGACUGCUUAACAAUAAUUAAACUGCACCUUAUGAAAUGCAUUCAUCCAGGAUGGUUUCUUAGAAAUCCUAGCUUGUCAUGAAUUGCUUUAGUCCACUUGGUAUUGCAGGUUGGGACUCAUUUGCCUCACCACAGUAAGGAGAACAAUUUAAGUAAUUUCACUUGAGGUCUUGGUUAGUAUUUUUUUACCACCAUGAAAUGAUGUAAGAAUUAAAGGAUAACAGGAAACUCCCUCAAAUCACAUUUUCAAGAGCAUUUUCCAAAAGUGGCUAUGUUAGUAGACUUUAUUGUCACCAGAAAGCCUCUGGUAAUCUUACAAAGCAUCUGCAAUGAAUAAUCUUCCCCUCCCCCAUCCUUAUUUGUUGCCAGAAACAGCUUAUAAAUGCUCAGUUGAAGAUGGUGCCAAAUUUUGCUUUUAGGCACACUUGUAAAUAGAAAAUAUUUCCACUGAUUUUGGAAGAAUUAUUCCAGAUUUACGCAGAUGCAAGUGAAAGCCAAAUUUUUCCUGGGUCUUCCCUCAUGGGUGCCACUUGGUGCCCUGAUCAGCGCCAGAACUGCUGCCUCUGGUGUCAGUGCAAGGCAAGUGCUUCAGCUGAAUCUGCCCAUAAUUUGACAAAUUAUUAUAAACAGAUUUGAACAAAUAUUUCUUUACAAAACAAACUGGUCAGCAGGCUCCAGGCUUUAGUCUCCUGAUGCAUUUUACAGGAAAUAAUAUCAAGUUAGCUAUUAUGAAACUACCCCCUCCUCACACACGCAUAAUUGCUUCCAGCUUGCUGAUUAUUACCCUUUCUUUAACUGAUAGAGUGAGAAGAGAAAUAAAAAUAUCUCCAUACAGUAGGCCAAAUCCUCAUCUGGUAUAAAUCGACAUAGCUCCAUCAAAGUCAAUGAAACCAUCUUGAUUUACACCAGUCAAAGAGCUGAUGCACUAUAAUUUUUUUACUUGCUUUUAAAAAUAAAACCUUAUGUGAUUGUGUAACCAACAUUACAACAGAAACCAGCAUUUUCUUUUGUGAACUUAAACGUGCCCUCCCUUCGACUUGCAAACAUUUUCACUUAGAUAGUCCUUCUAUAGCUUUUUUUUCUUUUGCCUUCUGGCAGAAUGCUCCUACCACCCUUGUGUCAUGAGUGAGGUACAAACUGGACUGAAAGAUAAUCACACAGAGAAUAAUAAUUUCAUGGAGUAAUGAGGACAAAGAAUGAAAUGCUACCACUACUCUUUCACCCAAAAGAGGAAAGACAGCUAAGCAAAGCUCAAGAUAAAAAAAAUAUUUCUGACAUUCUCUCUGAUCACUAUUCUCCAAUUAACAAACAGAUAUUAACAGCACCAAGAAAUUAGUAAUUCUUACUCCGGAAUGACAGUACUGUAAAUUACUAUUAUGGAUUAUGUUUUUAAAAUAAUCUUUAAAAUAAUACAAUGAGACUUAUUAGAAGGUUUACUGAAGCUGAUUGAAACUCUCUAUGUGCUUUCUCUGGACAAACAUUUCUAAAGUCUUUUUUCAGUGUUCUCUAGGGGCUGUGAAACACAUGGUGAUUUUUUUUGGGAAUACUCUUUGUCUCUUGUACUUCUCAAAAGCAAGGCGAGCUGUUCACAGCAAAUCUUUUACAUCCCUUUCAGGGAGCUCUAAGCAUUUCCGUGCAGUAUAUUGUCAAAUAAAAGUCUGGUCUUUCCCGAAGCUUCAUUUUUUGGCUGGUUGAUUUGAUUGAUGUGUAUAUUCAGAAAUUCAUGAUAAUUUCAACAACAUCUUGAAAAAUGGGAAUGAUUUCAUUGUUAAUGGUGACAUAGUUUUCUACUGCUUCAGCAAAGACUUUUAAGAAAAUGUACAUUCAUUAAUUCUUGGUAUUUAGCAGCGCCUAACAGCGUGCUGGAUGUUUUAUUAAAGUUAAUGGUGAUAUUUGCAGGAUUGCAGCCUUUAAUUUCCAACUGCUUUUUUGAAUACUGUAAAAAAUUAAAAUGUAAUAAAAAAAUGCAUUAGCAUGGAUUUCCAAAUGUUUUCAUUCAAAAUGCAGUCAAGAUUAAGCUUGCUUUUAAAUACAUAUUCCAUUGCUUUGAAUAACAUCUUGAAAAUUAUUCUAUGAU